CCCUUAGAUGUCCUGGGCCGCACGCGUGCUACACUGAGUGGAUCAGCGGGUCAGGUUGCGCGAAAGCGUUUCCUAAUCUUUAAAUCCGCUCGUGAUGGGGAUUGACGGUUGCAAUUUUCUGUCAUGAACGAGGAAUACCUUGUAAGCGCGGGUCAUCAUCCCGCGCUGAAUACGUCCCUGCCCUUUGUACACACCGCCCGUCGCUCCUACCGAUUGAGUGGUCCGGUGAGGCUUUGGGAUCUGAGCGGAAAGAGCGUUUCGCUGUUUCUGCUCGGAAAACUCAGUCGAACCUUAUCAUUUAGAGGAAGGAGAAGUCGUAACA
Molecule: ribosomal RNA, 322 nt
Filed under: uncultured eukaryote
Lineage: Eukaryota
Description: partial 18S ribosomal RNA
Rfam family: Eukaryotic small subunit ribosomal RNA
Source: RNAcentral